This 453-nucleotide ribosomal RNA is filed under the name uncultured organism. RNAcentral's name for it is "partial 16S ribosomal RNA". It matches the Rfam family "Bacterial small subunit ribosomal RNA", at positions 332 to 801 of the family's 1533-position model. The record is from RNAcentral.
UACACUCCUGCGGGAGGCAGCAGUGGGGAAUAUUGGACAAUGGGCGCAAGCCUGAUCCAGCCAUGCCGCGUGAGUGAUGAAGGCCCUAGGGUUGUAAAGCUCUUUCACCGGUGAAGAUAAUGACGGUAACCGGAGAAGAAGCCCCGGCUAACUUCGUGCCAGCAGCCGCGGUAAUACGAAGGGGGCUAGCGUUGUUCGGAUUUACUGGGCGUAAAGCGCACGUAGGCGGACUAUUAAGUCAGGGGUGAAAUCCCGGGGCUCAACCCCGGAACUGCCUUUGAUACUGGUAGUCUUGAGUGCGAGAGAGGGGAGUGGAAUUCCGAGUGUAGAGGUGAAAUUCGUAGAUAUUCGGAGGAACACCAGUGGCGAAGGCGGCUCACUGGCUCGAUACUGACGCUGGGGUGCGAAAGCGUGGGGAGCAAACAGGAUUAGAAACCCGAGUAGUCCCAUGAU